This 1947-nucleotide long non-coding RNA is filed under the name Homo sapiens (human). Its description in RNAcentral is "non-protein coding lnc-PRAG1-6:1". Lineage: Eukaryota; Metazoa; Chordata; Mammalia; Primates; Hominidae. The record is from RNAcentral.
CCAGCCAGGCAGAAAUAGGUUCUCAGUGUAAGGCCCAGUCAAGUGUCUCAUUCACAGGAGGAAAGCCAUUGAAUUCCGCCUUCCCAUUGCCUCCUCCCACUGUCGCCUCUUAACAACGUGGAGCGAUCUCACUACGCUGGACUUCACCGGCAUCCCAUUGCCCUUUCUUUUCACAUUGGCAAUCUCUCCUCUUGCCAAGUAUCUCUUUAUCUUUCUUCUUCUUUCAUUGAAUCCAGCAUGUAAUUACCGCUGAGCAAGUACCAUGUGCCAAACCCUUUAUUAGGACAGGGGUGCGAAGUCCCAGCCUGCAUGGGCUCCCAAUGGCAUUAGGGAAAUGUCACCGCAUCAUCAGAAGAGUCCAAGGUAAGUUCCGGGCUCGUGAUGAGAGGGGAGCACAGAAGGCCAAGGAAUAGGGACUAGACGGGGACACGGGGAAUGAGGGGAUACUUCUUAGGGGAUGGUUAAGCCCAUGCUUUGAGCUGAGUCCUGAAAGGUGGAGUAUGGUUUCCAAAAGAGACAAGUGACGCUCAAUCCAAGAAGAAGAAACAACCGCACAAAGGCUCAGAAUUUGAGAAGCACGCGGCGUUUGGAGAGCCAUGGCAGCUGAGGGUGCCCAGAGCACGCUGAAGCCCAGUCUGCAGGGAUCAUUUAUUUCUACAUCCUCUCACCUGGAUCCUGACUCACUCCUGCUUGUCCUUGAUUUGACCCUGAAGCACCACCCACCCUCCCAUUUUCCCAGAGAAGGGAGGAAAAACCGAAUGAGAUCAGCAGCUACGCGAACGGAGAAACCAACCAUGUCAGGAAUCCUAGCAAAAGUGCUCAACAAAAGCAGGAAGGAUGCAAAAAAAAAAAAAAAAAAAAAAAAAAAAAAAAAGAAAAGAAAAAAAGAAAAAAAAAAUCCUCACACAGGAAGUAGGGAGGCAAAAAGUAGAAAGAGAAAAACAAAUUUAGGUCACCUGUGGAAACUACUAAGUUGUCUAAUGAAACCCAGGAUAUGAGAGCAUGAGUUAGAAAAAGCCGGGAAAAUAAUAAUAGCUAAUAGUUACGUAGUAGUCACUAUAUAAAUAUAUUUCUAAGCAUAAAACAUUUGUUAACUCAUUUAAGCCUCACAGAAGUCCUAUGAGUUGAAUACUAUUAUUAUCCCCGCUUUCCAGAUGGGGAGACUGAGACACAGAGGAGAGAACCUAUAGCUAUAUGCAAUGGGUUAGAAUCAGUAAUCUGGCUGGGCGUGGUGGUUUACGCCUGUAAUCCCAGCACUUUGGGAGGUCAAGGCCAGAGGAUCACCUGAGCCCAAGAGUUGGAGACCAGCCUAGGUAACAGGCAGAUCCUGUCUAUACAAAAAAUAAUUUUAAAAAGCUGGGCACAGUGGCUCGUGCCUGUAAUUCCAGCACUUUGGGAGGCCAAGGCAGGCGGAUCACUUAAGGUCGAGAGUUCGAGAUCAGCGUGACCAACAUGGAGAAAUCCCGUCUCUACUAAAAACACAAAAUUAGCUGGGCCCGGUGGCACAUGCCUGGAAUCCCAGCUUCUCGGGAGGCUGAGGCAGGAGAAUCGCUUGAAACCGGAAGGCAGAUGUUGCGGUGAGCCAAGAUCGUGCCAUUACACUCCAGCCUGGACAAUAAGAGCGAGACUCUGCCUCCAAAAUAAUAAUAAAAUAAAAUUUAAAAGUUAAAAAAUUUAAAGAAAUUAGUUGGUUGUGAUGGUGCAUGCCUUUAGUCUCAGCUACUUGGGAGGCUGAGGAGGGAGUAUGACUUGAGUCUGGGAGAUGGAGGCUGCAGUAAGCCAUGAUUAUGCCACUGCACUACAGCUUAGGUAAAAGAGCAAGACUCCGUCUCAAAAAUAACAAUAAAAAUAAAAAAGAAUUAGUAAUCUGCAUCUAACACCAAUUUACAAUGAAUAAGUAUGUAAGGGGUUUGGGAAUCUUCCCUCUCAUUCUCUUCCUAUAUAACU